Rosa rugosa (rugosa rose) is the source of this 645-nucleotide long non-coding RNA. RefSeq lists it as uncharacterized. Lineage: Eukaryota; Viridiplantae; Streptophyta; Magnoliopsida; Rosales; Rosaceae. The transcript is spliced from 4 exons. The record is from RefSeq and is a predicted model, not a curated record.
CUGGACUCCGAGGUACCAAACCCUAUACCUGCGGGUACAACUAAACAUAUGGAGCUUGAGAAAGAGUUGGUGCCUGAACAAGCCAGCAAUACCCAAGUGUCAUGAUGUUCGAACACGAGAAGCUGGAAUUCAGGACAUACAUCACCAAAGUAAGCCGGAUGAAGUGGAGCUCGUUCGUCAUGAUUAUACAGCAAAUGAAGGUUGGGAAACGUUUCUUUCAUAUGAAGAUACACGCCAGGAUAUUCUACUUGGGUUGUUGCGAUUAAGAAAAUGUGGCAAAAACACUACCUCUGCUGAACUUAUGGGAAAGUGUUCUAUUGUUCGUUAACUCCAUGUUUAUGGGACUGCUGUUCCAGUUCAUGAGCGGGAUGCUGGCAAGCUGCAACACCAGGGCUAUGGUACCCUUUUGAUGGAAGAAGCUGAGCGAAUUGCUAGAAGGGAGCAUAGAUCAACAAAGAUUGCUGUUAUUUCUGGACUAGGAACUCGUCGUCACUACUAUAGGAAAUUAAGGAUACGAGCUUGAAGGGCCUUACAUGGUUAAACAUCUUGUAUAACUAGAUUUAAGAGUUUGUGUAACACAGUUUUGUAAUAUUAGCCGAAAUAAAUUCUAGUUUCAGAUACACGAUCAGUUUGUAUGGGUUUUCA